CCUACGGGUGGCAGCAGUGAGGAAUAUUGGUCAAUGGGCGCAAGCCUGAACCAGCCAAGUCGCGUGAGGGAUGACGGUCCUAUGGAUUGUAAACCUCUUUUGUCGGGGAGCAAGGCCCGCCACGUGUAGCGGUAAGGAGAGUACCCGAAGAAAAAGCAUCGGCUAACUCCGUGCCAGCAGCCGCGGUAAUACGGAGGAUGCGAGCGUUAUCCGGAUUUAUUGGGUUUAAAGGGUGCGUAGGCGGAAGGUUAAGUCAGCGGUCAAAUGUCGGGGCUCAACACCGGCCUGCCGUUGAAACUGGGCUUCUUGAGUGAGCGAGAAGUAUGCGGAAUGCGGGGUGUAGCGGUGAAAGGCAUAGAUAUCACGCAGAACUCCGAUUGCGAAGGCAGCAUACCGGCGCCCAACUGACGCUGAGGCACGAAAGCGUGGGUAUCGAACAGGAUUAGAUACCCGUGUAGUC
This 460-nucleotide ribosomal RNA is filed under the name uncultured bacterium. Its description in RNAcentral is "partial 16S ribosomal RNA". It matches the Rfam family "Bacterial small subunit ribosomal RNA", at positions 338 to 795 of the family's 1533-position model. The record is from RNAcentral.